GGCCUCUCAAGGUGCUGGGAUUACAGGUGUGAGCCGCCGCGCCCGGCCUCUUUGCUCUUUUAUACUCUCAGAAGCAAUGAGUUCUGGUUAAAAAAAAGGGCUCGAUAGACGGAAAAAAUGAAGGCUUAAAGAACUGACAACAAAAUAUUAACAUUUGGCUUGUGGAAUUCUUACACUCUCGUAAGCAGAAAAAACAAAUGUUAUGGCAAAAAAGUGUCUCAGACAAAUCCGUCUUGGGGGGAAAAAAAUUAAAAGAAUGAGAAAAACAGACUUCGGAAUAAAUAGACCCAAAGGAGGAAGUAUUGAAAAUGGCAAGAUUCACUUUUACAAACUUAUUUGGAACCACGGCAGAUGGCCAGGGCAGGGAUUUUGCAAGGCAGCUCCAGUUGAGCAGUUGAUUUCUCACCGCCCACCCCCGACCCCACCACUAUUGAUCAUGAGGUGCUUUGAGGGGUCCGGGUUUGGAGGACUGAAACACCGUGGGAUCUUGGAACAGCUCUUCCUUGUUGGUGAUCCCUUAUUAAGAAGCCCUCCAGCCUGACAAUGCUGAAGCCCUGGAGGUUGGAGCCACUCAGAAGAGGAAACCAGAGCACAGAAAGGUUAAGUGAAAUGCCCGAAGUCACACAACUGAUAAAUGGUCAAAUUGGGAUCCAAGCCCAGGCAGCUCUGAGUCAUUGACAUUACUCUGUCCUAGAAGGCACUCGACAGAAAGGGGGUUUGUGCUUCCUCCAUCCCACCCAGCUUCUGAAUGGUCCAGGCCCCUGACUGCAUUGCCACGAAAAGGCCUCAGAAAAAUGUCUGUGCAUGCAUCAAGACUGCAAGCCAGAUCCAAAAUGUAUCAGGUCUCCUUUAUGGGGAAUAGUGAGAAGCAAAUGGAAAUAGAUUGUCUUCCUGCUUGGGACUG
Molecule: long non-coding RNA, 904 nt
Filed under: Homo sapiens (human)
Lineage: Eukaryota; Metazoa; Chordata; Mammalia; Primates; Hominidae
Description: HSALNT0357151
Source: RNAcentral